AAACUACAGAAUUAACCAAAAAGAGAGUAAUCAAACUAGAGCCAAUACAUGUCCACGGUAGUUGCGGAGAUUAAUAUCAACUCCUAAUUCCACCAACAGAGAAACUAUAUGAAGAUCAAACAAACCCAAAUCAGGAUCAUCAUCACAAUCACCUUUUAAGAAUCUAUCUUCAACUACAACAAAAAUAACAAAGAGGAAGAGCCAAUGAUGAAUAUUCUACAGAGCAGGAACUCUCAUCUUCCCAGCAAAAUCACACAAAUCAACACAAAUCAAGAACAUAAUUAACCAAAUCCAAUCAUACCUAAAUCAGACAAGAAAACAGAAAACAGAUCCUUCGAUGCUCUUCGUCAUCCUUCAUCAUCCUUCAUCGCAGCUUCUUCACCGGAUCCGAGAGACAAGAUCAGAGAGAUAAAACGAAGAAACAGAGACAAGCAUCGCUGUUUCAGAAGAGGAAAAACCAAAUCGAUUUGGGAAUUUU
RNAcentral lists this long non-coding RNA (478 nucleotides) under Capsella grandiflora. RNAcentral's name for it is "long non-coding RNA (CGRA_LNC001129)". The record is from RNAcentral. Lineage: Eukaryota; Viridiplantae; Streptophyta; Magnoliopsida; Brassicales; Brassicaceae.